AGUGAACGCUGGCGGUAGGCCUAACACAUGCAAGUCGAACGGCAGCACAGUAAGAGCUUGCUCUUACGGGUGGCGAGUGGCGGACGGGUGAGGUAUACAUCGGUAUCCACUUUUUCGUGGGGGAUAACGUAGGGAAACAUACGCUAAUACCGCAUACGCCCUACGGGUGAAAGCAGGGGAUCUUCAGACUUUGCGCGUGUGUAUGAGCCGAUGUCGGAUUAGCUAGUUGGCGGGGUAAAGGCCCACCAAGGCGACGAUCCGUAGCUGGUCUGAGAGGAUGAUCAGCCACACUGGAACUGAGACACGGUCCAGACUCCUACGGGAGGCAGCAGUGGGGAAUAUUGGACAAAGGGCGCAAGCCUGAUCCAGCCAUACCGCGUGGGUGAAGAAGGCCUUCGGGUUGUAAAGCCCUUUUGUUGGGAAAGAAAAGCAGCAGGUUAAUACCCCGCUGUUCUGACGGUACCCAAAGAAUAAGCACCGGCUAACUUCGUG
Molecule: ribosomal RNA, 492 nt
Filed under: uncultured bacterium
Lineage: Bacteria
Description: partial 16S ribosomal RNA
Rfam family: Bacterial small subunit ribosomal RNA
Source: RNAcentral